CCUACGGGAGACAGCAGUGGGGGAUAUUGCACAAUGGGGGGAACCCUGAUGCAGCGACGCCGCGUGGGUGAAGAAGCGCCUCGGCGCGUAAAGCCCUGUCAGCAGGGAAGAAAAUGACGGUACCUGAAGAAGAAGCCCCGGCUAACUACGUGCCAGCAGCCGCGGUAAUACGUAGGCGGCAAGCGUUAUCCGGAUUUACUGGGUGUAAAGGGGGCGCAGACGGCGAUGCAAGCCAGGAGUGAAAGCCCGGGGCCCAACCCCGGGACUGCUCUUGGAACUGCGUGGCUGGAGUGCAGGAGGGGUAGGCGGAAUUCGUGGUGUAGCGGUGAAAUGCGUAGAUAUCAGGAGGAACACCGGUGGCGAAGGCGGCCUACUGGCCUGAAACUGACGUUGAGGCCCGAAAGCGUGGGGAGCAAACAGGAUUAGAUACCCGGGUAGUC
This 440-nucleotide ribosomal RNA is filed under the name uncultured bacterium. Its description in RNAcentral is "partial 16S ribosomal RNA". It matches the Rfam family "Bacterial small subunit ribosomal RNA", at positions 338 to 795 of the family's 1533-position model. The record is from RNAcentral.